Molecule: transfer RNA, 85 nt
Filed under: Felis catus (domestic cat)
Lineage: Eukaryota; Metazoa; Chordata; Mammalia; Carnivora; Felidae
Rfam family: tRNA
About the family: Transfer RNA (tRNA) molecules are approximately 80 nucleotides in length.
Source: Rfam by way of RNAcentral
GCCUGGGUGGCUCAGUCGGUUAAGCAUCUGACUUCAGCUCAGGUCAUGAUCUCACAGUCUAUGGGUUCAAGCCCCGCAUCAGGCU